RNAcentral lists this ribosomal RNA (253 nucleotides) under uncultured bacterium. Its description in RNAcentral is "partial 16S ribosomal RNA". It matches the Rfam family "Bacterial small subunit ribosomal RNA", at positions 524 to 776 of the family's 1533-position model. The record is from RNAcentral.
UACGGAGGUGGCAAGCGUUGUUCGGAAUUACUGGGCGUAAAGGGCUCGUAGGCGGCCAACUAAGUCAGACGUGAAAUCCCCAGGCUCAACCUGGGAACUGCGUCUGAUACUGGAUGGCUUGAAUCCGGGAGAGGGAUGCAGAAUUCCAGGUGUAGCGGUGAAAUGCGUAGAGAUCGGGAGGAACACCAGAGGCGAAGGCGGCGACCUGGACAGAUACUGACACUCAACUGCGAAAGCGUGGGGAGCAAACAGG